CUGCCCACCUUUGAAAUAUCAAAUACUAUAUGUUUUUAUUUACAAGGGAACAUUGAUCUCUAUGAAACCUUAAAGUCCUUAUUUUGAAACUAUCUCUUAGAUCGGCAAAGAGGUUUGGAUUGUAUUUGAGAAGUUGCUUAAAUUAUUCAGUUGGGUGACGAAGCUUCUGAAUUUUAUGUAAUAAGAAGCUAACUUCCAUAUCAUAUCAAAUCAACAAGAUCUGCUACAAAGAAGCUUUUGCAGUUGUUUCAAAAAAUAUAUUUGGGACUGAUGACAAAAUAAUUACAUACAAUUAAUAAGAGAAUGAGUUGUUUCAACCAGAUACAACAGAUAAAACAGGAAACACUCAUCAUAUGGGGUGAAAAUGACCAAAUCAUCAGCAACACACUGGCUAUGAGACUAGAUACUGAACUGCAAAACUCAUCUUUGCAUCAAAUCCCAAAUGCCGGUCAUCUCCCUCAUGUAGAAACACCGGAUUCAGUUUCCAAGUUGAUCGCCAACUUCG
Molecule: long non-coding RNA, 505 nt
Organism: Papaver somniferum (opium poppy)
Lineage: Eukaryota; Viridiplantae; Streptophyta; Magnoliopsida; Ranunculales; Papaveraceae
Exons: 3
Source: RefSeq, a predicted model, not a curated record